UACGUAGGGUGCAGGCGUUAAUCGGAAUUACUGGGCGUAAAGCGUGCGCAGGCGGUUUCUUAAGUCAGAUGUGAAAGCCCCGGGCUUAACCUGGGAACUGCGUUUGAAACUGGGAGACUUGAGUGUGGCAGAGGGGGGUGGAAUUCCACGUGUAGCAGUGAAAUGCGUAGAUAUCGUGAGGAACACCAGAGGCGAAGGCGGUUACCUGGACAGUUACUGACGCUCAGGCACGAAAGCGUGGGGAGCAAACAGG
This 253-nucleotide ribosomal RNA is filed under the name uncultured bacterium. Its description in RNAcentral is "partial 16S ribosomal RNA". It matches the Rfam family "Bacterial small subunit ribosomal RNA", at positions 524 to 776 of the family's 1533-position model. The record is from RNAcentral.